This 171-nucleotide ribosomal RNA is filed under the name uncultured Rhodobacterales bacterium. RNAcentral describes it as "partial 16S ribosomal RNA". It matches the Rfam family "Bacterial small subunit ribosomal RNA", at positions 335 to 523 of the family's 1533-position model. The record is from RNAcentral. Lineage: Bacteria; Pseudomonadati; Pseudomonadota; Alphaproteobacteria; Rhodobacterales.
ACUCCUACGGGGGGCAGCAGUGGGGAAUCUUAGACAAUGGGCGAAAGCCUGAUCUAGCGAUGCCGCGUGGAUGACGAAGGCCCUAGGGUUGUAAAAUCCUUUCGCUGGGGAAGAUAAUGACUGUACCCAGUAAAGAAGUCCCGGCUAACUCCGUGCCAGCAGCCGCGGUAA